Molecule: ribosomal RNA, 750 nt
Filed under: uncultured bacterium
Lineage: Bacteria
Description: bacterial SSU rRNA
Rfam family: Bacterial small subunit ribosomal RNA
Source: RNAcentral
GAUGAACGCUGGCGGCGUGCUUAACACAUGCAAGUCGAACGAAGCACCUUAUUCUGAUUUCUUCGGAAUGAAAAAUUUGGUGACUGAGUGGCGGACGGGUGAGUAACGCGUGGGUAACCUGCCUCAUACAGGGGGAUAACAGUUAGAAAUGGCUGCUAAUACCCCAUAAGACCACAGCACCGCAUGGUGCAGGGGUAAAAACUCCGGUGGUAUGAGAUGGACCCGCGUCUGAUUAGGUAGUUGGUGGGGUAACGGCCUACCAAGCCGACGAUCAGUAGCCGACCUGAGAGGGUGACCGGCCACAUUGGGACUGAGACACGGCCCAAACUCCUACGGGAGGCAGCAGUGGGGAAUAUUGCACAAUGGGGGAAACCCUGAUGCAGCGACGCCGCGUGAGCGAUGAAGUAUUUCGGUAUGUAAAGCUCUAUCAGCAGGGAAGAAAAUGACGGUACCUGACUAAGAAGCACCGGCUAAAUACGUGCCAGCAGCCGCGGUAAUACGUAUGGUGCAAGCGUUAUCCGGAUUUACUGGGUGUAAAGGGAGCGUAGACGGAGUGGCAAGUCUGAUGUGAAAACCCGGGGCUCAACCCCGGGACUGCAUUGGAAACUGUCAACCUGGAGUGCCGGAGAGGUAAGCGGAAUUCCUAGUGUAGCGGUGAAAUGCGUAGAUAUUAGGAGGAACACCAGUGGCGAAGGCGGCUUACUGGACGGUAACUGACGUUGAGGCUCGAAAGCGUGNGGAGCAAACAGG